Non-coding RNA from Triticum aestivum (bread wheat), 169 nucleotides. The record is from Rfam. Lineage: Eukaryota; Viridiplantae; Streptophyta; Magnoliopsida; Poales; Poaceae.
UAGUUACUCCCUCCGUCCGGAAAUACUUGUCGGAGAAAUAGAUGUAUCUAGACGCAUUUUAGUUCUAGAUACACCCAUUUUUACCCAUUUCUUCGACAAGUAUUUCCAGACGAUGCGUCUAGAUACAUCUAUUUCUCCGACAAGUAUUUCCGGACGGAGGGAGUAUUUG